AAGGCGUAGUCGAUGGGAAACAGGUUAAUAUUCCUGUACUUGGUGUUACUGCGAAGGGGGGACGGAGAAGGCUAUGUUGGCCGGGCGACGGUUGUCCCGGUUUAAGCGUGUAGGCUGGUUUUCCAGGCAAAUCCGGAAAAUCAAGGCUGAGGCGUGAUGACGAGGCACUACGGUGCUGAAGCAACAAAUGCCCUGCUUCCAGGAAAAGCCUCUAAGCAUCAGGUAACAUCAAAUCGUACCCCAAACCGACACAGGUGGUCAGGUAGAGAAUACCAAGGCGCUUGAGAGAACUCGGGUGAAGGAACUAGGCAAAAUGGUGCCGUAACUUCGGGAGAAGGCACGCUGAUAUGUAGGUGAAGUCCCUUGCGGAUGGAGCUGAAAUCAGUCGAAGAUACCAGCUGGCUGCAACUGUUUAUUAAAAACACAGCACUGUGCAAACACGAAAGUGGACGUAUACGGUGUGACGCCUGCCCGGUGCCGGAAGGUUAAUUGAUGGGGUCAGCGCAAGCGAAGCUCUUGAUCGAAGCCCCGGUAAACGGCGGCCGUAACUAUAACGGUCCUAAGGUAGCGAAAUUCCUUGUCGGGUAAGUUCCGACCUGCACGAAUGGCGUAAUGAUGGCCAGGCUGUCUCCACCCGAGACUCAGUGAAAUUGAACUCGCUGUGAAGAUGCAGUGUACCCGCGGCAAGACGGAAAGACCCCGUGAACCUUUACUAUAGCUUGACACUGAACAUUGAGCCUUGAUGUGUAGGAUAGGUGGGAGGCUUUGAAGUGUGGACGCCAGUCUGCAUGGAGCCGGCCUUGAAAUACCACCCUUUAAUGUUUGAUGUUCUAACGUGGACCCGUGAUCCGGGUUGCGGACAGUGUCUGGUGGGUAGUUUGACUGGGGCGGUCUCCUCCUAAAGAGUAACGGAGGAGCACGAAGGUUGGCUAAUCCUGGUCGGACAUCAGGAGGUUAGUGCAAUGGCAUAAGCCAGCUUGACUGCGAGCGUGACGGCGCGAGCAGGUGCGAAAGCAGGUCAUAGUGAUCCGGUGGUUCUGAAUGGAAGGGCCAUCGCUCAACGGAUAAAAGGUACUCCGGGGAUAACAGGCUGAUACCGCCCAAGAGUUCAUAUCGACGGCGGUGUUUGGCACCUCGAUGUCGGCUCAUCACAUCCUGGGGCUGAAGUAGGUCCCAAGGGUAUGGCUGUUCGCCAUUUAAAGUGGUACGCGAGCUGGGUUUAGAACGUCGUGAGACAGUUCGGUCCCUAUCUGCCGUGGGCGCUGGAGAACUGAGGGGGGCUGCUCCUAGUACGAGAGGACCGGAGUGGACGCAUCACUGGUGUUCGGGUUGUCAUGCCAAUGGCACUGCCCGGUAGCUAAAUGCGGAAGAGAUAAGUGCUGAAAGCAUCUAAGCACGAAACUUGCCCCGAGAUGAGUUCUCCCUGACCCUUUAAGGGUCCUGAAGGAACGUUGAAGACGACGACGUUGAUAGGCCGGGUGUGUAAGCGCAGCGAUGCGUUGAGCUAACCGGUACUAAUGAACCGUGAGGCUUAACCUU
Molecule: ribosomal RNA, 1539 nt
Filed under: Shigella sonnei
Lineage: Bacteria; Pseudomonadati; Pseudomonadota; Gammaproteobacteria; Enterobacterales; Enterobacteriaceae
Description: partial 23S ribosomal RNA
Rfam family: Bacterial large subunit ribosomal RNA
Source: RNAcentral